AACGCGAAGAACCUUACCAGCUCUUGACAUCCUCUGACCCCUCUAGAGAUAGAGUUUUCCCCUUCGGGGGACAGAGUGACAGGUGGUGCAUGGUUGUCGUCAGCUCGUGUCGUGAGAUGUCGGGUUAAGUCCCGCAACGAGCGCAACCCUUGUCAUUAGUUGCCAUCAUUUAGUUGGGCACUCUAAUGGGACUGCCGGUGACAAGCCGGAAGAAGGUGGGGAUGACGUCAAGUCCUCAUGGCCCUUAUGACCAGGGCUUCACACGUCAUACAAUGGUCGGUACAGAGGGUAGCCAAGCCGCGAGGUGGAGCCAAUCUCACAAAACCGAUGUAGUCCGGAUUGCACUCUGCAACUCGAGUGCAUGAAGUCGGAAUCGCUAGUAAUCGCAGUCAGCA
RNAcentral lists this ribosomal RNA (395 nucleotides) under uncultured Neisseria sp. RNAcentral describes it as "bacterial SSU rRNA". It matches the Rfam family "Bacterial small subunit ribosomal RNA", at positions 958 to 1354 of the family's 1533-position model. The record is from RNAcentral. Lineage: Bacteria; Pseudomonadati; Pseudomonadota; Betaproteobacteria; Neisseriales; Neisseriaceae.